UGACGGUACCUGAAGAAUAAGCACCGGCUAACUACGUGCCAGCAGCCGCGGUAAUACGUAGGGUGCGAGCGUUAAUCGGAAUUACUGGGCGUAAAGCGUGCGCAGGUGGUUUGUUAAGACAGAUGUGAAAUCCCCGGGCUCAACCUGGGAACUGCAAUUGUGACUGGCAGACUAGAGUUUGGCAGAGGGGGGUGGAAUUCCUGGUGUAGCAGUGAAAUGCGUAGAUAUCAGGAGGAACACCGAUGGCGAAGGCAGCCCCCUGGGCCAUGACUGACACUCAUGCACGAAAGCGUGGGGAGCAAACAGGAUUAGAUACCCUGGUAGUCCACGCCCUAAACGAUGUCAACUAGUUGUUGGGUCUUCAUUGACUUAGUAACGUAGCUAACGCGUGAAGUUGACCGCCUGGGGAGUACGGCCGCAAGGUUAAAACUCAAAGGAAUUGACGG
This 446-nucleotide ribosomal RNA is filed under the name uncultured beta proteobacterium. Its description in RNAcentral is "bacterial SSU rRNA". It matches the Rfam family "Bacterial small subunit ribosomal RNA", at positions 470 to 916 of the family's 1533-position model. The record is from RNAcentral. Lineage: Bacteria; Pseudomonadati; Pseudomonadota; Betaproteobacteria.